ACCUCUCCGAUACCUGCGGGAUAUGUUGGGAACCCUACGUUGCCCGUGCUCCUGUAGCGGUCAGCCAAAGGCCCAAAGCCUCCCCGCCUCCUGUAUCGCGCAUCGCCAACCGCCGCUGCCGAUUGGAGCCGCCGCCGCUGAUCUGUGGGCGCCGCGCGCCGCCGAUCUAUGGCCAUCAGCUCGUCAAUCACGGAUUGAAGCCAAUACCGCGUGGUCUGUGGCCGUGUUCUUCCCUUCUUGUUCUUGCUUCUCGAACUCCUCCUUUCUUCUCAAUCUGCUGCCUCUUACUGCUACUGCUCCCAUUCUCUGGUCUUG
Molecule: unclassified non-coding RNA, 315 nt
Filed under: Zea mays
Lineage: Eukaryota; Viridiplantae; Streptophyta; Magnoliopsida; Poales; Poaceae
Description: misc RNA Zm00001eb227050
Source: RNAcentral